RNAcentral lists this ribosomal RNA (274 nucleotides) under uncultured bacterium. RNAcentral's name for it is "partial 16S ribosomal RNA". It matches the Rfam family "Bacterial small subunit ribosomal RNA", at positions 523 to 796 of the family's 1533-position model. The record is from RNAcentral.
AUACGGAGAGUGCAAGCGUUACUCGGAAUCACUGGGCGUAAAGCGCGCGCAGGCGGCUUGAUAAGUUGGAUGUGAAAGCCUACGGCUCAACCGUAGAACUGCAUCCAAAACUAUUUAGCUAGAGUGUGGGAGAGGAAGAUGGAAUUAGUUGUGUAGGGGUAAAAUCCGUAGAGAUAACUAGGAAUACCAAAAGCGAAGGCAAUCUUCUGGAACACUACUGACGCUGAGGCGCGAAGGCGUGGGGAGCAAACAGGAUUAGAUACCCCGGUAGUCC